GAUCCUACGGGGGGCAGCAGUGGGGAAUAUUGCACAAUGGGGGAAACCCUGAUGCAGCAACGCCGCGUGAGUGAGGAAGUAUUUCGGUAUGUAAAGCUCUAUCAGCAGGGAAUAGAAAAGAAGGUACCUGAAAAAGAAGCCCCGGCUAACUACGUGCCAGCAGCCGCGGUAAUACGUAGGGGGCAAGCGUUAUCCGGAUUUACUGGGUGUAAAGGGAGCGUAGGCGGUCCGGAAAGUCAGCGGUAAAAGCCCGGGGCUCAACCCCGGCGAGCCGUUGAAACUGUCGGACUAGAGACGGCGAGAAG
Molecule: ribosomal RNA, 305 nt
Filed under: uncultured bacterium
Lineage: Bacteria
Description: bacterial SSU rRNA
Rfam family: Bacterial small subunit ribosomal RNA
Source: RNAcentral